GAUGAACGCUGGCGGCGUGCCUAAUACAUGCAAGUCGAGCGAACAGAUGAGGAGCUUGCUCCUCUGACGUUAGCGGCGGACGGGUGAGUAACACGUGGAUAACCUACCUAUAAGACUGGGAUAACUUCGGGAAACCGGAGCUAAUACCGGAUAAUAUAUUGAACCGCAUGGUUCAAUAGUGAAAGACGGUUUUGCUGUCACUUAUAGAUGGAUCCGCGCCGCAUUAGCUAGUUGGUAAGGUAACGGCUUACCAAGGCAACGAUGCGUAGCCGACCUGAGAGGGUGAUCGGCCACACUGGAACUGAGACACGGUCCAGACUCCCACGGGAGGCAGCAGUAGGGAAUCUUCCGCAAUGGGCGAAAGCUUGACGGAGCAACGCCGCGUGAGUGAUGAAGGUCUUCGGAUCGUAAAACUCUGUUAUUAGGGAAGAACAAAUGUGUAAGUAACUAUGCACGUCUUGACGGUACCUAAUCAGAAAGCCACGGCUAACUACGUG
RNAcentral lists this ribosomal RNA (497 nucleotides) under uncultured bacterium. RNAcentral describes it as "partial 16S ribosomal RNA". It matches the Rfam family "Bacterial small subunit ribosomal RNA", at positions 28 to 507 of the family's 1533-position model. The record is from RNAcentral.